AACUUUUGACGGUGGAUCUCUUGGCUCACGCAUCGAUGAAGAACGCAGCCAGCUGCGAUAAUAGGUAGUGUGAAUUGCAGAAUUCAGUGAAUCAUCGAAUCUUUGAACGCAAAUGGCGCUCUUGGAUUCUCCCAGGAGCAUGUCUGUCUGAGUGUUGGAUUGUCAUCCAUU
This 171-nucleotide ribosomal RNA is filed under the name Goniastrea minuta. Its description in RNAcentral is "5.8S ribosomal RNA". It matches the Rfam family "5.8S ribosomal RNA". From Rfam's summary of the family: 5.8S ribosomal RNA (5.8S rRNA) is a component of the large subunit of the eukaryotic ribosome. It is transcribed by RNA polymerase I as part of the 45S precursor that also contains 18S and 28S rRNA. Lineage: Eukaryota; Metazoa; Cnidaria; Anthozoa; Scleractinia; Merulinidae. The record is from RNAcentral.